This 479-nucleotide ribosomal RNA is filed under the name uncultured organism. RNAcentral describes it as "partial 16S ribosomal RNA". It matches the Rfam family "Bacterial small subunit ribosomal RNA", at positions 331 to 801 of the family's 1533-position model. The record is from RNAcentral.
GUACACUCCUGCGGGAGGCAGCAGUGGGGAAUUUUGGACAAUGGGCGAAAGCCUGAUCCAGCAAUGCCGCGUGAGUGAAGAAGGCCUUCGGGUUGUAAAGCUCUUUUGUCAGGGAAGAAACGGUGAAAGCUAAUAUCUUUUGCUAAUGACGGUACCUGAAGAAUAAGCACCUGCUAACUACGUGCCAGCAGCCGCGGUAAUACGUAGGGUGCAAGCGUUAAUCGGAAUUACUGGGCGUAAAGCGUGCGCAGGCGGUUUUGUAAGUCUGAUGUGUAAUCCCCGGGCUCAACCUGGGAAUUGCAUUGGAGACUGCAAGGCUAGAAUCUGGCAGAGGGGGGUAGAAUUCCACGUGUAGCAGUGAAAUGCGUAGAUAUGUGGAGGAACACCGAUGGCGAAGGCAGCCCCCUGGGUCGAGAUUGACGCUCAUGCACGAAAGCGUGGGGAGCAAACAGGAUUAGAUACCCGGGUAGUCCCAUGAU